UACAGAGGUCGCAAGCGUUGUUCGGAUUUACUGGGCGUAAAGGGCACGUAGGCGGUUAAGCGUGUCGAGUGUGAAAUCUCCGGGCUCAACCCGGAAAGUGCGCUCGAAACUACUUGACUAGAGUACGGGAGAGGGAAUCGGAAUAUAGGGUGUAGCGGUGAAAUGCGUUGAUAUCCUAUAGAACACCGGAGGCGAAGGCGGAUUCCUGGAACGUAACUGACGCUAAGGUGCGAAAGUCGGGGGAGCAAACAGG
Molecule: ribosomal RNA, 253 nt
Filed under: uncultured Verrucomicrobiota bacterium
Lineage: Bacteria; Pseudomonadati; Verrucomicrobiota
Description: uncultured Verrucomicrobia bacterium partial 16S ribosomal RNA
Rfam family: Bacterial small subunit ribosomal RNA
Source: RNAcentral